GCUGCUGUAGCCCAGUUGGUAGAGGCGUCGCCAGUAGAUGGCGAAGGUCGCUGGUGCAAAUCGAGCUUGCGGUG
This is a non-coding RNA of Phthorimaea operculella (potato tuberworm), 74 nucleotides long. The record is from the annotation of a GenBank genome assembly. Lineage: Eukaryota; Metazoa; Arthropoda; Insecta; Lepidoptera; Gelechiidae.